UACCAAAAGUCAUAUAUACAACAACAACAUUAAAAAACGCAACCGCGCGUUGUUGCGGCAGCCAAAUCUCAUAUUUAUGCGUUUACUACCUACUUAGUCGCCGCUAUUACUGCUUGCUGUUCCACAAGUUCAACCAUGAAAAAACCGUUGAGUGCUUGCCGUUCCACAAGUUCAAUUCAAAACCAUGAAAAAACAGUUGAGU
This is a long non-coding RNA of Bactrocera neohumeralis, 202 nucleotides long. RefSeq lists it as uncharacterized. The transcript is spliced from 3 exons. Lineage: Eukaryota; Metazoa; Arthropoda; Insecta; Diptera; Tephritidae. The record is from RefSeq and is a predicted model, not a curated record.